UACGGAGGGUGCAAGCGUUAUCCGGAUUCACUGGGUUUAAAGGGUGCGUAGGUGGGCAGGUAAGUCAGUGGUGAAAUCUCCGGGCUUAACCCGGAAACUGCCGUUGAUACUAUUUGUCUUGAAUAUUGUGGAGGUAAGCGGAAUAUGUCAUGUAGCGGUGAAAUGCUUAGAUAUGACAUAGAACACCAAUUGCGAAGGCAGCUUACUACACAACGAUUGACGCUGAGGCACGAAAGCGUGGGGAUCAAACAGG
Molecule: ribosomal RNA, 253 nt
Filed under: uncultured bacterium
Lineage: Bacteria
Description: partial 16S ribosomal RNA
Rfam family: Bacterial small subunit ribosomal RNA
Source: RNAcentral